CCGACAUUAUUCCAACAUACCAACUUAAAGUGCCAAACAUAAGUUAACCAUGGCAGGGGUAUACCCGGAUACCCCUACCCCACCCGGUUCUGAACCACCAAUGACCACAGUUUCCUUUUCUGCCACGUUCAUCCUAGGGAGCCUAUUCCUUCUCCUUCAGCUCCCUAUCCCGCCACAAGCUCAGACCUUGAUCCCUUUAGCUGUCUGAGCUCCGCCACCACGAAGAAAUUGCGCUCUCUGCAUUCCUUCCUGCCAACAUAAGUUCAGGAGAUCCCAUCACACCGCCGAGAGAUGGACUCCAUCCGAGCGGUAAUACCCUGGCAGCCCGCCUUCCAACUCACCAUGCCGCACAACUACUCCCCCGACUUUUCUCACAAAGCUCGCCAUCAAACUGUUCACUUUUUUCCUGCACUUAUCAAUAGCCACUGGGUCCCGUGCGUGCCGCCACCGACGCCUCGGGACCAUCUCUGACCACACUAGCAUGAUCCUGGGAAGCAGGUCCCUCAAUUUGUUGAGGUCCUGCUUCAUCCACUUCACCAGCCGUCGUUGCGGCAUGAGGCCCAAGUCAUUGC
Molecule: non-coding RNA, 572 nt
Organism: Pelobates cultripes (western spadefoot toad)
Lineage: Eukaryota; Metazoa; Chordata; Amphibia; Anura; Pelobatidae
Source: the annotation of a GenBank genome assembly